This 262-nucleotide ribosomal RNA is filed under the name uncultured bacterium. Its description in RNAcentral is "partial 16S ribosomal RNA". It matches the Rfam family "Bacterial small subunit ribosomal RNA", at positions 793 to 1055 of the family's 1533-position model. The record is from RNAcentral.
GUCCACACCGUAAAUGAUGAUUACUAGGUGUUGGAGGAUUGACCCCUUCAGUGCCGCAGUUAACACAAUAAGUAAUCCACCUGGGGAGUACGACCGCAAGGUUGAAACUCAAAGGAAUUGACGGGGGCCCGCACAAGCAGUGGAGUAUGUGGUUUAAUUCGACGCAACGCGAAGAACCUUACCAAGUCUUGACAUCCUGCGACGGUUUUUGGAAACAGAACUUUCCUUCGGGACGCAGAGACAGGUGGUGCAUGGUUGUCGU